UACGCACAGGGCUUUUUUCAA
This 21-nucleotide non-coding RNA is filed under the name Caenorhabditis elegans. The record is from RNAcentral. Lineage: Eukaryota; Metazoa; Nematoda; Chromadorea; Rhabditida; Rhabditidae.